ACAUAUGUCCGACCUCUAUGGAAGAUCCACUCAAAGCCCCGAUCUGAUCGGUCUCCUCGAGAGUGCUAGCUCCCAUAAAGACCAUCUUGUUGGCUGAUCUGGAUCUUUUCUUCAAAUCUCUUGAAUCUUUUCAAAGAUUGAAGAUAGACAGGUGGAGGAGAUGAAAGAGAAAAAAAAAUAUGGAGAAAAAAUAUUUUUUUCUUUUAUUUUUCUCUCUUCCCAAAUCCUAGGACCAAACCCUAGAAUCUAGGGUUUUCGCUCACCCAAGAGAAGAGGACUCUCCUCUUCUUUUUCCAAGCCAUGAACUCAUGCCCCA
RNAcentral lists this long non-coding RNA (316 nucleotides) under Elaeis guineensis (African oil palm). Its description in RNAcentral is "long non-coding RNA (EGUI_LNC054908)". Lineage: Eukaryota; Viridiplantae; Streptophyta; Magnoliopsida; Arecales; Arecaceae. The record is from RNAcentral.